RNAcentral lists this ribosomal RNA (444 nucleotides) under uncultured bacterium. RNAcentral describes it as "bacterial SSU rRNA". It matches the Rfam family "Bacterial small subunit ribosomal RNA", at positions 17 to 507 of the family's 1533-position model. The record is from RNAcentral.
UCCUGGCUCAGAGCGAACGCUGGCGGCAGGCUUAACACAUGCAAGUCGAGCGGGCGUAGCAAUACGUCAGCGGCAGACGGGUGAGUAACGCGUGGGAACGUACCUUUGGUUCGGAACAACACAGGGAAACUUGUGCUAAUACCGGAUAGCCCUUACGGGGAAAGAUUUAUCGCCGAAAGAUCGGCCCGCGUCUGAUUAGCUAGUUGGUAGGGUAAUGGCCUACCAAGGCGACGAUCAGUAGCUGGUCUGAGAGGAUGAUCAGCCACAUUGGGACUGAGACACGGCCCAAACUCCUACGGGAGGCAGCAGUGGGGAAUAUUGGACAAUGGGGGCAACCCUGAUCCAGCCAUGCCGCGUGAGUGAUGAAGGCCCUAGGGUUGUAAAGCUCUUUUGUGCGGGAAGAUAAUGACGGUACCGCAAGAAUAAGCCCCGGCUAACUUCGUG